Columba livia (rock pigeon) is the source of this 5232-nucleotide long non-coding RNA. RefSeq lists it as uncharacterized. The record is from RefSeq and is a predicted model, not a curated record. The transcript has 5 exons. Lineage: Eukaryota; Metazoa; Chordata; Aves; Columbiformes; Columbidae.
GUGGGCAAACAGCAGCAGGGCGCAGCGGCGGUUCCCGUAGUCGGGCGGCGGCGGGGGGAGUUGGUCGGUGUCUGAUUUGGGAGCGUUGCGGGUGCUUCUGUCAGCGGGGAGGCUGGAAGAUUGAGACUAAAAAAGUGCAGCGUUUUCAGGACUCACGCUGCAUUUCUGAAGCUCAGAAAAAGACUCCUAUGUUUCCAGUGCCUGAAAACACCGGGCUGCAACCAGCUGCUGGGCAAGUCACAGGUGACCCUCACCUUCCAGGACCAGAUGGGCAGUAUCACCAACCCCAUCCAUCAAACCCUGCAUUAGUUCAAGUCACCGCACAGGUGAGCCCGAGCCACCAGCCUUCCUCAUCCCUCAGGCUUUCUUCAAGGCUUCUCAGAAGAGAAUCUCCAGCAGGAGCACAAAGACAAAGCCUCCCCUUCCCCAACAGAAAACACUUCUUCUAGGCACCAAAAAGAAACAAAGAACCAAGGGCUCCAUCCUCUUCAUCUUCUGCCUCUAGCCACCUAAAAAACAUCAAAGCACAAACUUACUAAAAAUAAAUUUAACACAACGAAAAACCCCCAACGCUCACCCAAAAGGCUGCUGCCACACAGAGAAGCCAGCCCUUUUUGGGGGACCUGUCCACUGCAGCCCACCCUUGGGGGACAACCAGGAGACAGAGGGACCCACUGAGCAUAAAAAGGUUAGGACAAACACCAACGGCUGCAGCCUCUUCACAUGCUGCCUUCAGCCACCUCCAAAGGAAAAGAAAACAACAACAAAAAAAACAUCCUAGAGCCCCAGGACACAGGCAGCACCUACUGCCUUUGGGGCAAGUGAAGGGAUCCGCAGCCCUGCCCCUGCAGGGACUGCUCCAGGUUGCUUCAAGGUUCCUGACCUGGCUGUACAGGGCUUCACUUCACCUGCAAUGAAAGAAAACAGAGAAAAAAGACAUCUGACUCCAGCCCAGCAUCAUCUCUAACCUCAAGAGCAUCACCUCCCACUGAACCCCCCAGCCCUGCAAGGGGGGCACAGCCCCAGCACCCACCUGCAGACACAACCACUGUUGGUCCUGCUGCUGGCUCUGCUGCUCUGGAACCCAAACCACCUGGAAGUAAAGGAAAACUGAUACACGUGGAGUGCCCCAAGCACCGAGCACGGGAGGAGGAAAAGGGAAGGGGUUACACCUGGGGAAACUUCCCAAGGCAGCCCCUACCCAGAGGAAAGGGGGGCUGCAGCCUGGAAGCGGCACCCACCUGGGUGCGACACCCACAGGCAGCAGCAGGCUCCCAGUAGCUCCUGUCAGGCAACCAGGAGCUCCCAGUCACUGUUAGGGCAGGGCAGCCCAUACCCACCAAGGCGAUCAUAGUAGCUCCCCAGUGACACCUAGGAGCAUUCGGAAGCUCCCAGGAAGCAGUAGCGAGGGCCGAGUAAGUGCCCAUGGGCUCCCAGUCGGCAGUAUCAGGUGCCCGGUGGGCACCUGGGAGCUCCUGGUUGGUAGCACCAAGCUCGCACCAAAUGUCCCAGUGGCUCCCAGCAGCCCCCAGAGGGGUUUAGGAAGCCCCAGGUGGGCCCUGGCCGCCCACAGCCCUGCCCUGGGAAAGUCCUGAAAAUCACAGACCUGUGCUGAAAAAUUACAGCUCGGUAUAGGCUGUGCCCUUGGCUUCUGGGAUACUGAGGGGGUUUGUGGAGGCAGUUGACAGAAAAGUGACUGAGGGUGUCGAUCUUGGUCAAGCUUGAUGUUAAGGGCUUGUGCUUGAUUGAUUGCUUUAAGUGGGACUUUAAAAUGGAGUAUGCUUCUCCUUUGAUUAUUUCAUCUUAGCUUCACUGAAGCUAUCAGGCACUUAAUUAUUUUAUUUUUACCCUACUAAUUGUUUUCACCAUAAUUAGAUUGUGUGUACAUUCCUUUUAACUUGCCAUUAGACAUUCUUUUCUUGCUUGGGCAUCUGAGCUAGACUGGAAUCACGUUCCAGUUUCUCGUGUAACACUUCUCAUACAUAAUUGUGUACGGCACUGAUUAUGUCUGGCUGUUGGAGACCACCUGAGAAAGAUCUAACUUCGUGUCCGUUUGAGGGGAUUUUAUGGAUGCAACCUCUCCCUGUGUAGAAAGUGAAAUAACAAUUAUUACCAGUGUAUGUUUGUAUUCUGUAGUGUCAGUAGGUUGUAUAGGCAGUCAUUGAAAGAAAAAAACAACACGACUUCAUCUCGUUGCUGCGCUUGGGAGCACUGGCUGCAGCCAGGUGACCAGGAGCCAUUGCUGCCCAUCAGACCUUGCAUCCUUUCCACUUUUUGUGUUGGGUGGGACGAGCAUGUGUGACUGAAGUGGCAAGUGUCAGUGCUAACAAAUGCCCAUCUGGGGUGAGAACAGCUGCGGGACAAGGUGUUUAUCUAGACCCAUUUCAAAAUAAUAUGGGAUACUUUGGCACAGUCAUUUUCCAAGUGUUACAUUCUAAAAAUAACUAGAGGGAAACAUCUUGAAAGCUUUAGCCACUAAAUCAAUAUGUGGGGUAGCUAUUCUAUAGGAAAGUCCUUAGAUACCAAAAGCCUGUGUCCUUUGGCCCUUUUGGUAAGCAAGCAGAUUUACUUAAGAGCUGGUGAACUGACUAUUCCUUGGCACACAUGCUCCAAGUAGAGACUAUGUCUCUGGUUUCCUGAGACGGACUUUGCUGUCCGAUGAGAGAUUUUUGGCUGAAAACUUGAUGUUAUAUGGGAAAACAAGAUGUGCUUUCAAGUCUCCUUUAUACAAUAGGGGAAAACCACUGGGUUUUGUCAUUGUUUGCAGCCAUGCAACAUUCUGGUCUCAGGCUCCUCCAAAGUAAGUAGCUCAGGCUCUUUCCCAGCUGUGCUGGUCCGUGGCCAAUAUUGCACUUGGAAUAGAAAUGGAAUGGCUGGUCCUAGCAAGGGCUAACCUGGGAGCAGAAAUCCCCUUUUUCAUAGAGAAACACGUCCUCUCCACAUUUACUGGUCCAAACUUUUGUCAAGAUGUCACCAGCUUAACUGUGGCUGACACAAGUUGUCACCAUCAGUCCACUGGCAAUCUAAGUAUUGCACUUAUUAAAAACUUCUCGAGACCCCCACAGACACAGGCCACUCUCAGGGUCCCCCCAAAAAUUUUGCUGUUUUUCUCGAAUCCCAGUGCUGGCAGGCCUGCUGCAAAAUACCCGGCUGCUCUCGUACUAAGUCCAAAUUCAGGUCUAUUACAAAUGGCAUGAGUUUGCUUCCUUCUUUACUGCACCUACUUUGCACAAUCAGUGCUUAAAACCUGGAAGGACCAUUAGGGCACAGGAGGUACCCAGACUUACUGUGGAACCAGAAGCCUUCUAAUCCACUUGUGCGUUGCUGAAAACAACUUGGAACUCAAGCUGGUAUUUGUUAAGAUUGCAAAAAGGUUUGUUUUGCAAACUACUUAUUUUCCUUUGAAAUAUAAUGUUAUUUUCUGGAAGACCCAGAGCAUGAACUAAGCUCUUACUAAAUGGGUAUACAGCAGUACCAUCUUCUUUUCUUUAGCAUGCUUUAGUAAAUAAUACUUCAUCAUUUAUUUGCUAGCAACUGAGAACACAUUUUUCUUUCAGCUAUCCACAGCAUCUUUCAGGUAAAAAUGAGGACUAAUCUGAGCCAUGACUAAAAAAAACCCAUUUUUAGCAGAACAGAAGACAACUGUGCUUCUGAAUUAAUUAAAUUUGUGUGCAAAAAGGGAAGAACUUUUUGUGAGCAUCAGAAUCUCAGCAUGGUUCUCCAUCUGGGAUUCACCUCUGCUCAUUUAAGCUGCAUCACAAAAGAUGACCCAUCUGAGGGAUGUAUUCUCCUGCUGGGAUCAUGUCGUAGUACUCAGAGACCCACGACCUAACCCUGGAGCUGGCCUCUGAUCUGUGGCUUUCCAGGGUGCAAUGGGGUGGGACCAGACAUCUUCCAUGGUCCUUGCAGCCAAGGACCAGGCCAAGCAGCCAUGCUCUCUUCCUCUCCCCACUCUGGGAGGGGGGCAGCAGCAGGACUUGGGGACUGGGCUGACAGGGAGGGAAGUGGGCAGUGUGCAUGGACCCCUACUGGAUGUGGGAGUCCAGUCAUAUUGGUCCCUGAGGAACCAGGCCAAAUUAAGUGUUGGACUUAGUCCCUGGAGCAAAAAGUGACUUUUUUUAUCCCCUUUUUAUUCAAGGAGUGUACAAGCACCAGAAUAGUUAUUGAAUCAUUAGUCAAAAUUUAUUCAAGGUACAAUGACUACAGUUCAUAUUCAGGUUAGGACAGUGGUUGAUAUAUAACCUUACCAAAAGCCCAGAUUGCUGUCAUUAGCUGGAGCUGCAAUUAGCUUGUAAGAAGAAUUUGCUACAAUGCAAUGCUGACAGCAGUGGGAGCAUGUGUUCUGGAGCUGAAAUAACCAGGUAAACUGAGGUGAAACAUCCGUUGUUCAUAAGGAACAUCCAGUGUCCAUCGGCCAGAGCUGUAACAUCUCCUGUCCAGGAGGUGGAGCUGCCUGAAACUCAGAGAAGCCCAAGUGUCCAUCAGCAGGAGGCAGCAUCUCCCCACCCGUCUGCUGGAGUGUCUGUAACCCGAGCUGUGAGAAGCAGGAGCAUCUCGUAUCCCAGCCGUGCACGAGCCGCCAUUCAGGGCUGGAGCCUCAACAAGCUGGAGAUACGAGAAGCAGGAGCUGAAAUAACUUGGAGCUUCAAAUACCUUGAAAUGUAAGAAGCUGAAGGGUCCAUUGGCCAGAGCUGUGGGACCUGGGAGUGUCCCUUAUUCGGAGCAUCCAUGAGCUGGAGUGUCUGUCGCUGGAGCUAUAACUAGCCCAGGUGUCUGCCAGCCAGGAGCCGGGUGGGCACAGGCAGGGCUCUCCCCAGAAAGGAGCUCUUGCCAGGCACGAGCAGCAGGGAGGCGAGUCACCCUUCUGCAAGCGGGGAGCCUGGCCUCUUCCCUCGGGGAUUAAAUCCACCCCUCUCUGCAUGGAGGGUCUCCCUGUGGGAAACUGCAGCGGGUCUGUGGAAUCCUUGACAGAAAAUAUGAGAGUAGAGAUCAGCCCUGAGAUAUUAAGAUUUACCCUUGAGAAGGAUGGGAGUAAAGGAGUAUCCGGAGAGAGGAGAGAUGUACCCGUGGGAGAGAAGGGGAUAGAAGAAUAACAUGGAUGAUAGAAAAAUUAACCAAUGAGAUGUUAGUGCUGUAACUUGUAACCAAUAGUGAAAAGACACAUGAACUGGUAGAAUUGUAUAAAAAUGCACUUGUAGCAAUAAAUGGCAUCUAUUACUUUCAUCUUGAAAG